CCUGGGGACCCAACCUGCAACCUUUCUGUUUACGUCAGGACGCUUGAGUCAACUGAGCUGCACCCGCCAGGGCCCUGAUGGUUUUUCAGUAGGUGUUUGGGGAAGGUGCUGUGUGAUGUCUUUUCGUCAUGUGUGAAGACGUAACUACUUUCAAAGAAGUGUCGAUGACUAUAUUUAUUUUACCACAGCAUCCAGAGCAAUGGACUUGGUUGACACUUGCCAGCUUUAAAGUCUAGUAGAGUGCUGAGAAGGUGAACUUGGGGAAGCACUCACGCCAGCAGGGUCAUUUCCAGGGAGCAGUGGAUUGGCUUUACUAAGGGCACAUCAAAACCUGGAGGUACCAAGCAGUUAGGAGGUGUUCUAUGGAAAAGGGGGUCAAUUCUGACCACUCGUGUUUCUGCUCACUAUUCCACUCUAAGAAAACUUUUUUAAAAAUAGAAAACUUUAUUAAAAUUGUGAAAAACUUAGUUAUCCUGGCACAUGUUUGUAACAGUGGGAGAUUGUUACUCACCCCACUGUUCUUUUGACCUUGUUUUUGUAAGUGCGGACUCUAAGAUGUGGCUUGUAUGUGAACAGUGUGUUCGUAUAAGAAUCCUAGGAACUAACUUCAGAAGACACUGACCCCGACCUUCAGGCAUCCCAGCUCUAUGAGACAUGCUGACCUUAAACCUUGAAGUCAGGAUAAUCUAAAAUCAGGAUGACGUGGGGCCAGGAUGACUAACCCAGCAUGAUGCGCACUGACCAGCACUAUCCUUAUCAGAACCGACUGUGCUCGUCUGCACGUUGAGAACUUAGAGAACUUUCAGCUCCCUCCCUUAACCUCUUUGUUCUCUUCCCCUCUCCCUCCUUAUCACAACCUCUGGCUCCACUGAGAUGUGGAGAUAGGCUUUGAGAAGUGAUCGCCCAUCUUCCAGGAGGCUGGCACCUGAAAACAAACCACUUUCCUUGACAUCAGC
Phyllostomus discolor (pale spear-nosed bat) is the source of this 956-nucleotide long non-coding RNA. RefSeq lists it as uncharacterized. The record is from RefSeq and is a predicted model, not a curated record. NCBI's taxonomy places the organism in Eukaryota, Metazoa, Chordata, Mammalia, Chiroptera, Phyllostomidae. The transcript has 2 exons.